GGGUGUAGCCAAGUGGUUAAGGCACCGGAUUUUGAUUCCGGCAUUCGUAGGUUCAAAUCCUGCCACCC
This 68-nucleotide transfer RNA is filed under the name bovine gut metagenome. It matches the Rfam family "tRNA". Rfam says of the family: Transfer RNA (tRNA) molecules are approximately 80 nucleotides in length. Their secondary structure includes four short double-helical elements and three loops (D, anti-codon, and T loops). The record is from RNAcentral.